Molecule: small nuclear RNA, 137 nt
Organism: Neogale vison (American mink)
Lineage: Eukaryota; Metazoa; Chordata; Mammalia; Carnivora; Mustelidae
Gene: U4
Rfam family: U4 spliceosomal RNA
About the family: U4 small nuclear RNA (U4 snRNA) is a component of the major U2-dependent spliceosome.
Source: Ensembl
AGCUUUGCGCAGUGGCAGUAUCAUAGCCAAUGAGGUUUAUCCGAGGCACGAUUAUUGCUAAUUGAAUACAGGUAUAAUUUUACUUGAAUAAAUUCUCUGUCUUCUCUGUAAUUCCAAAAUUCCACAGUGACACCACU